GUGUCAGCAGCCGCGGUAAUACGAAGGGGGCUAGCGUUGUUCGGAUUUACUGGGCGUAAAGCGCACGUAGGCGGAUCGUUAAGUCAGGGGUGAAAUCCCAGAGCUCAACUCUGGAACUGCCCUUGAUACUGGCGAUCUUGAGUCCGGAAGAGGUGAGUGGAACUCCUAGUGUAGAGGUGGAAUUCGUAGAUAUUAGGAAGAACACCAGUGGCGAAGGCGGCUCACUGGUCCGGUACUGACGCUGAGGUGCGAAAGCGUGGGGAGCAAACAGGAUUAGAAACCCUUGUAGUCC
Molecule: ribosomal RNA, 292 nt
Filed under: uncultured prokaryote
Description: partial 16S ribosomal RNA
Rfam family: Bacterial small subunit ribosomal RNA
Source: RNAcentral